CUGUAAGGAUAUAUGAUUCUUGACGAGCAAAUAGUUACGAGUUAUUUUGAGUAGCUGAUGCUGGGAAGGUGGUUGUGCAUUUGUAAAGCAUGUGAUGAAAACUACAUUGGACUGUCUCAUGGGAGGAUGGUCGUUGAUAUUCCGAGGGGAUUAGAUACUAGAAUUUAACAUGCAUAUUUUUCGUGUCUGUACAUACAUUUUUUGCUGACUCAUUAUUGUACCCUUAAAG
Molecule: unclassified non-coding RNA, 229 nt
Filed under: Hevea brasiliensis (rubber tree)
Lineage: Eukaryota; Viridiplantae; Streptophyta; Magnoliopsida; Malpighiales; Euphorbiaceae
Source: RNAcentral